GCCCCUGGGCUGGCCAGGGGCAGCCUUUCCCGAAGCCUGGAGCUUCCGCCCCCGUGUGCGGCGCGGGGCCUUCUGGGCGAACGCUGGGGCAGCAGGGCCAGCAUCCCCCACCCGGGAGCCAGCGGCCGGCCCCACUCGGGAGCUCCAGCCAGGCCGGGGGAGGGGGCGGGGCGCAGCUCACCGUGACCGUCGGCGCCCCGAGGGUGGCGCGUCUGGCGCGUCUGCUCUCCCUGGGAGCCGUCCGGCGAGCAGGAGCUGGAGGUGCCCAGAGCUAAAAGUGAAACUGCAACCUGACGCAGGGCCCGCCCAGGACGCCCUCCCGGAACCGUCCCGGAGAGCCCGCCCCGGCCCCCUUCCUGCCCCCUCUUCCCGCCAGCCCGCCUGGAGCACCAGCCUCGCGCGUCCGGAGGAACCUUGGCUUGGCGCCCCAUCCUGGUAGCCUCAAACUUCAUAGCACUUUGUGGUUUUUCUUAAAACUCUGAGCCUGUGCCCGGGCGGAUCACCUGAGGUCGGGAGUUCAAGACCAGACUGACCAACAUGGUGAAACCCCGUCUCUACUAAAAAUACAAAAUUAGCCCGGCGUGGUGGCGCAUGCCUGUGAUCCCAGCUACCUGGGAGGCUGAGGCAAGAGAAUCGCUUGAACCUGGGAGGUGUAGGUUGCAGUGAGCCGAGAUCAUGCCAUUGUACUCCAGCCUGGGCGACAGAGUGAGACUCCGUCUCAAAAACAAACAAGCAAACAAACAACUUUGGGCCUGUGCCGAAGGGUCUGGGCAGAUCUUCCAAAGAUGUACAAAAUGUAGAAAUUGCCCUCAAGCAAAUGCAAAGAUGCUCAACACCCUUAGUCAUCAAGGAAAUGCAAAUGGAAUCCACAGAGAGAUACUGCACACUGACAAAGAUGGUCGUAUUACUAAAGGUGAAUAACCAGCGCGGGGGGCACGUGGAGUCACUGGAACAUUUGUGCAAUGCUGGUGGGAAUGUCAACCCGUGCGGCCCUCUGGAAUAAGCCUGGCAGCUCCUCCAAGAGUUACCGUGUGACCCAGCAAUUCCACUCCUAGCUCCACCCACAGGAAUUGAAAGCAAAGACGCAAACAGAUGCCUGUGCACCAAAGUUCACGGCAGCAUCCUUCGCCAUAGUGGCAGCAUCCGUCGUCACAGCGGCAUCAUCCUUCAUCAUAGCGGCAGCAUCCGUCGUCACAGCGGCAGCAUCCUUCGCCACAGCGGCAGCAGCUGUCGUCACAGCGGCAUCAUCCUUCGCCAUAGCGGCAGCAUCCUUCGCCAAAGCGGCAGCAUCCUUCACCAUAGCGGCAGCAUCCUUCGCCAUAGCGGCAGCAUCCUUCGCCAUAGCGGCAAGGUGGAAACCCUGUCCAUCCACUGAGGCGUGCAUAGACUAAACAUGGCCAGUCCAGGCACUGGAAUCCAGGCCGUAGAACGGCGCCCACGGUCAAAAGGAAUGAGACCCUGAUGCACUGGGCGACACAGACGGGCGACACAGACUUGGAGACAUCAUGCUAAGUGAAAAGCCAGGCACACGGAGCGGACGGCGUGAUCCUGCUCACGUGAUGUGUCCCGAAUGGGCACGUCCAGAGGGAAGAAGGGAGAUGGCGCUGCCGGUGCCCGGGACGGGGGUUGGGAGCGACGGUUGCUGGUUUGGGGUUUCUUUCUGGGGUGAGGAAGUGUUUUGAUAUUGGCCGUUGGUGAUGUUUGCAUACCUCUGAAUAUGCUAAGACCCACAGAAUUGCACACUUUAAAUGGAUGAAUUGUAUGGUAUGGGAAUUACACAAUUAUGUCUCAUUAAAGCAGUUAUUUUAAAAAUCUAGUGCCCAGUAGCAACA
RNAcentral lists this long non-coding RNA (1832 nucleotides) under Homo sapiens (human). Its description in RNAcentral is "HSALNT0145386". Lineage: Eukaryota; Metazoa; Chordata; Mammalia; Primates; Hominidae. The record is from RNAcentral.